This 1650-nucleotide long non-coding RNA is filed under the name Cyanistes caeruleus (blue tit). Its description in RNAcentral is "lncRNA (ENSCCEG00000006013.1)". The record is from RNAcentral. Lineage: Eukaryota; Metazoa; Chordata; Aves; Passeriformes; Paridae.
AAAAAGCGGCCGGAAGCCGAACCUUUUCUCGGCCUUAUCCGUGCGAACGGUGAACGCCGUCCGCGCCACCGCCCACGUGUAGGGGUUCAAGAGCGGCGCGAACCCCACCCCCAAAGCCCCCAGAACCCCUCUGAGGAUCCCGUUGAGGCGGGCCAGGAUUCCCGGCAGGAAUUCCGGGAUGGGGAAUUCCCGGAUUCCCGCGGGCCGGAGGAGCCGGAUGUUGAAAUCCUCGUAAGGGAUGGGAGGGGAGGAAUCGUAGCAGAAGAAAACUUCGCCCGCCACCGAGGCCGGGCGGGAGCGGGCGGCGCGGGCGGCGAGGACGUGCAUCCAGGCCACGUUUCCUGGAGAAUUUUUGGGGAAAAAAUUGGGAUUUUUGGGAUUUUUUUGGAUUUUUUUUGGAUUUUUUUUGGAUUAUUUUUGGAUUUUUUUUAUUUUUUUUGGAUUUUUUUUGGAAUUUUUUUUAUUUUUUUUUAUUUUUUUUGGAAUUUUUUUCCAAUUUUUUUUAUUUUUUUGGAUUUUUUUUGGAUUUUUUUUAUUUUUUUGGGGUUUUUUUUUAUUUUUUUUGGUUUUUUUAAUAUUUUUUUUUUUUAUUUUUUUGGAUUUUUUUGGAUUUUUUUGGAUAUUUUUUUUAAAUUUUUUUUGGAUUUUUUUAUUUUUUUUUAUUUUUUUUUUUUUUGGUUUUUUUUUAUUUUUUUUAAAUUUUUUUUGGAUUUUUUUAUUUUUUUUUAUUUUUUUUUGAUUUUUUUUGGAUUUUUUUAUUUUUUUGGGGUUUUUUUUGGAUUUUUUUUAUUUUUUUCGAAUUUUUUUCGAAUUUUUUUUGGAUUUUUUUUGGAUUUUUUUUUAUUUUUUUGGAUUUUUUUUGGAUUUUUUUUGGAUUUUUUGGGGAAUUUUUUUGAUUUUUGGGGUUUUUUUGGGAAUUUUGAGGGUUUAGGGGGUGUGAGCAACAGGACGUGCAUCCAGGCCACGUUUCCUGGAGAAUUUUUGGGGAAAAAAUUUGGGAUUUUGGGGACUUUUACCAAUUUUUUUAAAAUUUUUUUUUUUUUUUUUAUUUUUUUUGGAUUUUUUUUGGGAUUUUUUUUGGAUUUUUUUUGGAAUUUUUUUAGAAUCUUUUUAGAAUUUUUUUCGAAUUUUUGGGGAUUUUUUUUUAUUUUUUUAAAUUUUUUUGGAUUUUUUUUUGGAAUUUUUUUGGAAUUUUUUCGGAAUUUUUUCGAUUUUUGGGGUUUUUUCAGGGAAUUUUGGGGGGAAUUUGGGGGUUUAGGGGAUGUGGGUGGUCAGGACGUGCAUCCAAGCUACGUUUCCUGGAAAAUUUUGGGGAAAAAAUUGGGAUUUUUGGGAAAAAAUUGGGAUUUUUUUCGAAUUUUUUUUGAUUUUUUUUUUUUUGGAUAUUUUUUUUAUUUUUUUGGAUUUUUUUUUAUUUUUUUGAUUUUUUUUGAUUUUUUCGGUUUUUUUUGGGGGGGGGAUUUUUUUUGGAUUUUUUUGGAUUUUUUUUGGAAUUUUUUUUUAUUUUUUUUGGAUAUUUUUUCUUAUAUUUUUUUUGGAUUUUGUUUGGAUUUUUUUUGGAUUUUUUUUUUUUUUUUCGAAUUUUUUUGGAUUUUUUUUAGAUUUUUUUGGGGAAUUUUUUUGCUUUUGUGUUUUUUUUGGGAAUUUUGA